CCCCUCUCAGGAUUGCACCUGGAGAGUUUCCAGUACUCUACCAGUGUCAGCUACGGGAGGGAGAGUCAAGCAGAGGCAUACCCAUUCCAUUCAUACCAUGGGCAGUGGCUAGUGAGUGGAAAGCAAUCUGUUACAAGU
This 138-nucleotide small nucleolar RNA is filed under the name Ornithorhynchus anatinus (platypus). The record is from RNAcentral. Lineage: Eukaryota; Metazoa; Chordata; Mammalia; Monotremata; Ornithorhynchidae.